GUCAUUUGAAAUUUGGGUGGCAGGUUUCCUGAGCCCUUCUCAACUCUGUGUAUUCACAGUCUUUCCAAGCCAUUAGAGAUGCAUUUCCAGAGCCAAUUGUAUGAUUGAUUAUUUAUAAUUAGGAGAACUAGAAGAUAAGUGAGGUGAAAAUGAAGAGUUGAAAGGGAACCUGGACUAUGUUCUAACCUGCAUCCUGAUUUUUUUUUGGUUGGACUGCUGCUGGGGAACGGGGUCACUGCCUUGGACCUUGUAGUUUGCCUCUGCAUACAGCACGAGCCAUGGUCAGAAAUCGCAGCAGUUAGAGCAAAGGAGCCCCAGCCUGGUGCUCAGCUACCUGAGCCAGCCAGCUGACUAUGGACUGAAACACAGCCACAAUAAACCUCUCCUUCCUUAGCUUGUGGGUGUUGGGUAUCUUGUGCCAUCACAGAGUAAAGUGGCCAAGACAUCAACACUGUCCAUCGGCCCUCUUCUGAACACUGAGAUGUCUUAGCUGAUAAGAGCUGAGGUCCCUGCAUGCACAGUACUUACCUUUUAACUGGGAGAGACUAUAGGAAGAGAACUACCACUCAUUGAGCCCCGUUUAUGCACUGUGUAUCCUUGCAGACAUCUCCUCUGUGUUCAGGGAAGACUUCUCUGCCCCCUUCCACUAUCAUUGAGGACAGAUGCUAGAUCAGGAGCCAUUGCUGGGCCUGAGGUCUUCCAGAACAUGUGACCUGAGCUCAAAUGUAACAAUCAGGAAAACUUCACUACCUCCACCAGAAUUGCCACCCAGCCACGAUGCAGCUGAAGCGCACUACAGAAAAACUCCUGCCUGCACAAACCUGUUGUACAAACCUGUUUGCCCACAACAGCAGGAGAAGCUACAAGAAAAAUAAUGCCUCCUCAUUUCCAACUUCCAAAUCUCCCACAAUGCUUCUCAUUGGAGCAUUGAUUUGUAAAUCAAACCCUGGCAGGGAGAAAGCCAGAAAAAUUUAUUUUUUAGCUUUCUAGCCUCUGCACCCUGGAAGGGAAACAAUAGAUGAUGAGUGGCAAUUUCUUGUAUCCACAUGGUUUCCCUUCUUAGCCACCUGUAGUGUCCAUGGUUUGGUAGAGCAGUGUGGGAACCUAGAAAUGCAGCCCUCAGGUUAGAAGCUUUGGUUAACUUGGGUGUAGCCACCCUGGUCAGCCAUGAAGGCUGCACCAGCAGUGUCCUGGCCAAGGAGCUUCUUAGGUCUAUGUAAAGCUUCUGCCCUCAGAGAGAAGAACCGAGGAUUUAGGUUAUACCAUGAGAGUCCUUGGAAGAUCACAGUGGGAUUGUGGGUCACAUGCUUGCCUGAUGACCUUGCUAAGCAUUUAGCCAAGCUUGAAGUUGUCUGUGCACAGUGGGACCAAGGAGUUUGAGAACACAGGUCUGAUAAGUAGGAGCUGUCACCAACCACCAGCUUUGAGAGAAACUGACAUGGGCUGGGGCUGGGGAUUCCCUGGCUUUUCCUCUACAUCAUAGUUCACCUCCAUGGGGAGUUCCUUUGUAUUAUUAUUGUAGCAGUGGUAUUGGUCUUUUUGAGACAGGAUCUUGCUAUGUAGUUCUCACUGUGUAACAGCCUGGGCUGGCUUUGCGCUUGCAGCAAUCCUCCUGCUUCAGCCUCCCAAGUGCUGGGAUUGAUUAUAGGCCCAGCUAGUGGAUUUGCAGAGUUGACUAGACAAGAGACUUAGAUUAGCCAGUCCAGUAUGGAGGUCACAUCUUAGUCUUCAAAAGUUUCUGCAGAGGCACUCAAGAGUGUUUCAUGCCAGGUGAGGACUGACUCCUCUCCCUGAGUCCUCGCUGAAACCCUGAAGUCUCUUAAUUGGGCUCCUGUUCAGCACAGACACAUCUCAGGUACAUGGUUGCCACCAACCCAGUGUCCUCCCAGUUCUUGAGUAAGGAUGAGUGGCAGGAAGUCUCUGGCCACAGAUUCCCUCAUCUGCAACAUGAAGAUUAAGGCUCACCAUAUCCCCAGGAGGCUGGGAGAUUUCACGAGAGCCUACAGGAAAGCACUCAGCUUAUUUCCCAGUGUGGAUUUAGGGUUACGUGAGAGGAAGCCUUGGGCCUUAGGAGGAGGGAGUGGUGGAGCCUCCCGUGGGCCUCCAAGUGCGCUGCCUCAGGCUGCACCUGCACUAUUCUGUCUGUCUCUUUUGAGGAAUCGAAGCAUCUUAACAAAGGUAUGAACAGUGAUCGGUGCCCAUGCCAGCAGGAAGAGAUCAAGUCAUCUUUGUAUAACUUGUUCUAGAAGGGAGGAAAAACUGAGUACAGUGGUACAUGCCUUUAAUCCCACCCACUUGGGAGGCUGAGGCAGGAGAAUCACCAGUUUGAGGCCAGCCUGGACAACUUAGCAGGGUCUGAGAGACAGAGAGAGAGAGAGAGAGAGAGAUCAUAGAAGCAGGAAAGACUUCUAUAUGAAAUAGUUAAAAUAAAGAAAGUGGUAUUUACAGGAAUGCCUUAGUUGAUUGGGAAAUUUCCUCAUACAAAAGAACCUUUUUUUGUGACAAUAGCUGAUACUGUCCUUUUCCUUUCUAGUUUUUAGUCCAAGAUGAUUCCCUCGGAACUGUUAAGUAGAGGCUGCAUGAUUCCAUGCAAACUCUCGAGACUAGGAAUAAGAAAAUCUGGUUUCUAUAUCUGCCCCCGUACAGUUGUUGACUGAAUAACUGUUACAUAACUGUUAAUGUCUAGAAACAUCGGUUUCUUCAUCUGCAGGAUGGAGAUAAUACUGAGCAGUGUGCCUGUUUCCCAGAACCCUGGUGAGGGUUGGUGGCAGUUACAGCCAGUGCUCUGGAGUCAGCCUGCUCUGAGGCUUCCUGGUCUGUUCCUCCCACAGCCGCCCCCUUCUUCAGACCUGACUUCGCCCACGUUCCCUGCCACAGGCCUUACUGGGAGGUAGAGCGAGCCACAUACGUUUGUAUGGAUUUUCCUGGCUUCAUAUGACAUCCCUUCGAACUAAGCAGGAAACUGAAUUAUAGUGAGAAUAGUGCAGUUGCAUGUCAACUUGGGCCCAAAACAAACAAAUAAACAAACAAACACUUUACAAACUGAGUGGUUUAAAAUAACAGAAAUUUAUUUUCUUACAAUUCCAAAGGCUUGAAGCCUGGAAUAAAAGCUUCAGCAGAGCUGGGACCCUGCUGAAGUCUCCGGGGAGAACCCUCCUUUGCCUCUUCCUAGCUCCUGGUGGCUCCAGCCUCCUCGCUGUCCUUGGCUGGGAGCUGCAUGGAGCAAUCUCAGCUGUGUCUUUGCAUGGCUUCGACCCUCUGUUUUCUCAUUGCCAACGCUGGACUCAGGACACAUCUUAACUUAUGACAUAUGCAAGACUAUUCCACAUAAGGUCCCACAGUGAGGUUCUGGCUGGACAUGGAUUUGGAAGGGAUAAGACAAUCCCAAGAUCCAGUAUCCUCUUGUCUGAGGAACAGUGUCUCUGACCAUUUCCGCUUCCCAUCCCCACCCUCUAGCGAAAACCUGUUGUCCCCGUACUGGCUCUCAAUUCAUCACCCACCUGGACACCUCACAAACCUGGGGUCCCCCUGGUCCCAUCGCUUGACUUCAUCAUUGCCACCACACAGUCAUCAAGGCUCUGGACAUCCUUGCUCCUAAACAUUUACUAAAUUUCUCCCUGUCUCUUGAACCCCACAGCCAGGUUCCAGCACUGCUCCCUUAGACACCAUAACAGCCUGCUAGUUAGGCUUCCAGGUCUUGUUCCCCAGUUCCGCAUCUCCAUACUGCUGCCAGGGAGUCUUUACCGAUGAAACCUAUUCAGCACACCCUUGCUGUUGACCCUCCAGAACUCAAUCUGACCUCUCAGCCAACUUCUGCCCAUGUCCUCUCUCACAUCCUCACGUGGAGGCUGCGCUGUAGUCACCUGCAAGCCCUUGAGGUUUCCUGAGCUUAUAGACUCUGCUUCAUCUCCAUGCGAUCGAACGUACAUACUGUGGUAAAAGACACAGUGAAUGUUUCAGUUUAAAACCAAUUAUUACAGUAAAAGACACAUUGCCUUGAAUCCCCCUCAAAAUACUCACCAUCGCUUCAAACACACUUUUCCCAUUGUUCUUGCCACUUGCUGAAGCAGUUCUAGAAUUUCUCUUUGUCUUUAGUCAUGCUGUCCUAACUGCCAUGAUACCCUGAAUCAAUUGAAAAUGUUUACCAUUCAUGGUCAUUUUGACUUUGGGGACAACCCAGAAGCCAUACAGUGCCAAAUCAAGUAAAUAAGGUAGAUGAGGACACAGUGUGAUGUUUUAAUGAUCCCGCCAUUCUGUUGGAUGGCACUCAGUAGUAUUCACUGUAUCUCUCCCCCCCGCCCCCACCGCCCCGGUACUGGGGAUCAAACUCAGGACCCUGCGCUUUCGAGGCAGGCAGCGGCACCACUGAGCUAAAUCCUUGGCCCUCACUGUAUCUUUUAUCCUUCUCAUAAAGACAGGAAAGAGGACUUCCAGAGCUGCUUCAGAAAAUGGCAAGGACAUGAGUAAAGUGUGUUCCAAGGAAAAGGGAACAUUUUGAUGGGGAUUAUUAGCAAUGUCUUUUACUGUAAUGAAUUUUUAAGAGUUUAAACAUCCCCCAUAUAUUUUGAUUCCCCAUUGUAUUGCUUACACCCUGGCUCAGCAUGCUCCACUAGCUUGCCUGGCUCCUAUCUGCCCUCCUUGCACACUUGUCUCAAGCCCUGCUCUCACUGUCUGAUGAGCCCCGAGCUGGGUUGGAUGAACCCUUCGUCAGUACACAUUUGACCCCCUCAGAUGCGCAUGCAGAGGUAUAAUCCUUGAUUUUCUCAUGUAUCUCCUACGUAUAAUCCUUGAUUUUCUCGUGUAUCUCCUACACUAUGUUCCUCGACAGUGUCUGUCUUUCAACCCCGCAGUCUGAAUAUCUACAUCCUGGAUAUCAAACACAAUACCUGUUGAUUAAAUGCUUGUGUAGUGAGUGAAAUGAGGUCUUCCCAACUGAGUUUAUACCUAGUAACUGGCCAAAUCAGGAUCAAUAAUUGGCUCAUUCUAAUGCUAUAUGUUGCUAUUUAAGCUUUUGAAUUCCUACAUUUGAACAUUCAGUAUGUCAUUCUCCGGGAUACACUGUGGUCAUAUCAUCCUUUGUUUGAUGGUGAUUAUGUAUGGAGUCACAGUGCAAGGGCAUGGCUCAGCUGAAGAAUAUGUAUCCACUCUAACGUACACACAUAUGUAUGCACAGUAUAUACAUACACAUGUGUGUUUCUGUACUUAUAUAUACACAUAAAAUACUCUUUUUGUAAUACUGAAGAUUGAAACCAGGGUGCUUUACCACAGAACCAUACCCCCAUCUCUUUUUAAAAAUGGUAUUUUAUUUUGAGACUGCAUCUCUCUAAGUUGCCCAGGCUGGCCUCAAACUUGAGAUCCUCCUUCGUCGGUGGUGGUCUCCUACAUAGCUGGAAUUACAGACAUGUGCAACUCUGCCUGGCUCAUAUUUUCUACUUAUAGCUAUAUUUCCUAACUCAGGAGAAAAUCUUUGGGGCCAGUCAACUUUUCUGAGGGGUGGAAGUCUGAGCCCAGAGCAUUUUAACAACAGAAGACAUCUAGGAAGUAGAGGGGUUUCCAAGAACAUGUCAGUGCAUUCAGGAAUUGCCUUAAAAUUCCAGAUCUGGUUCUUGGGGGGCACCUUGCUGAUGUUCCAGCCAUGUUUGCAAGCUCAGUCACUUUCUUUCUGGAGGUCUGGAUGGAGGAGGAGGGGCACCUGGCUACUAAGCACUGCAGGAUGAGGUUUGGAGCAGCAGCUCUGUACCAAGGGUUCCUAUGCAGAAUUGCUCUGUGCAUUAGAUGCAUGUGUGCUUUCAUCGGCCGACUGGGUCUGUGUGGAGUUCCUCUGCACCUCAGUUACCAUUCUGUCCUGUGGAUCGAGGGAAACAAGAGUGACUAGCUCCCAAGGGAACUGCAUUUCAUCCUUAGUUCUGCAUGGGCACUUGUAUAAUGCUAAGCUCUUUCCUGGUCAGCUCAGAGCUUUUUUUUUUUUUUUUAAUCUUUAGACCCAGUUAAAAAAUGCUUGGGCCGGGGACUUAGCUCAGUGGCACCAUGCCUGCCUGGCAAGCACACGGUCCUGAGUUCGAUCCCCAGUACCAAAACAAAAAUGCUUAUUUAAAAGUGAUAAUUAAAAAUAAUGAUUCUGGCCUAUAUCCUAGCAAUCUGGGAGGCUGAGGCAGGAAGACUACAAGUUUGAACCCAGCCUGGGCAAUUUAACAACCGAGUGAGAUGUCUCAAAAUAAAAAUAGAUAAAUAAAUACAAAGGACUGGGGAAGUAGAUCAGAGUGAGGCCCUGAGUUCAAUCCUAGGACCACAAAAGAAGAAAAAAAGUCAUGAUUCCUGUGGUAAGGAUGCUUGUUCUCAUGUUACAAGUGGCAGUAAUUCCUGUUUGCUCUGUUUUUGUCAUUUAACACAUAUGGUCAUAUUAGCCAACAAUUUCUGACCUUGUAGCCCUUAAAAAGUGAUGUAUUUCUACAUUGAUGGCAUGGAAAGAUGUUCCAGAUACAGUAGUAAGAGUAAAAAGAAAGUUUCAGGAUUUAUAUAUAGUCUAAAACCAAGCUUAUUUUUGAAGCCCUGAUGAAAUGUUUCUUGAACUGGAGGUAUUAGCAGCUCCUGGAACCUGUCAGAAAUGCAGAUUCUUAGACCUUGCCUAGAACCACUGAACCAGAAGUUCUGGGUGUGGAUUAUCAAUUGCUAACCUGACUUCCAGAUAGUUCUGAUAGAUGCUCAAGUUGGAGAACCUGCUGUGGCAUGUGUUAGGUCCUGCUAGAGUUUGCUCUGUGUGCAGGAUUGUCAGUCUGAUGAGGAGGUCCAGCUCAUUUAUAAUUGGCAGGCAGCCCCAGUAAAUGAACUGCUUAUGUUUUGUAAUGGAUUUCGAUGCCAUUGUUUCUGGUUCUUUGUAUUCGUGUAUUCCUUUAUAAAAUCUGUAGAAUAAAAAGCUGACAAAUGAC
Long non-coding RNA from Heterocephalus glaber (naked mole-rat), 6926 nucleotides. The record is from Ensembl. Lineage: Eukaryota; Metazoa; Chordata; Mammalia; Rodentia; Bathyergidae.